GCGGAGUGGCGGACGGGUGAGUAACACGUGGGGAACCUAUCCAUCAGCGGGGGAUAACACUUGGAAACAGGUGCUAAUACCGCAUACGGCUUUUUUUUCACCUGAAAGAAAGCUCAAAGGCGCUUUACAGCGUCGCUGAUGGCUGGCCCCGCGGUGCAUUAGCCAGUUGGUGAGGUAACGGCUCACCAAAGCAACGAUGCAUAGCCGACCUGAGAGGGUGAUCGGCCACACUGGGACUGAGACACGGCCCAGACUCCUACGGGAGGCAGCAGUAGGGAAUCUUCGGCAAUGGACGCAAGUCUGACCGAGCAACGCCGCGUGAGUGAAGAAGGUUUUCGGAUCGUAAAGCUCUGUUGUCAGCAAAGAACAGGAGAAAGAGGCAAUGCUUUUUCUAUGACGGUAGCUGACCAGAAAGCCACGGCUAACUACGUGCCAGCAGCCGCGGUAAUACGUAGGUGGCAAGCGUUGUCCGGAUUUAUUGGGCGUAAAGCGAGCGCAGGCGGUGAUUUAAGUCUGAUGUGAAAGCCCCCAGCUCAACUGGGGAGGGUCAUUGGAAACUGGAUCACUUGAGUG
This 573-nucleotide ribosomal RNA is filed under the name uncultured Tetragenococcus sp. RNAcentral's name for it is "bacterial SSU rRNA". It matches the Rfam family "Bacterial small subunit ribosomal RNA", at positions 90 to 648 of the family's 1533-position model. The record is from RNAcentral. Lineage: Bacteria; Bacillati; Bacillota; Bacilli; Lactobacillales; Enterococcaceae.